GAAAGCGCAGCCAUGCUUUGCAGAGGCUACAGCAUCGCUCUCAUUGGUAGUAUCAGCUUCUCGCCAAACGGAGUCUUUGCUUGUCCGCCGCUACGCCGAAAGGAACCGGGAAUACAAGCGACUGCCUCCGUGAUGUAAAGACCUGCAGUGAAGUAUUAAAGCUAGAAUGAAGUGAGAGAAACGGAUAAAUAUUAGCAGAGCACAGUGUUCUGGGAUCCACCAUAUGGCGUGGACCAUAUCAUGGUGCAUUAUGGGAUAAUGGAGGACUUUAACGCUUUCUGCAGUUUUGGACAAAGCAGUCGACGGGAAAGCACCACACGGAGUCCUUUUUCGCCUGCACAAGCGGCCUGGGACGUAUCAUUAUUUUGCACGCAAAACCACCCACUGGCUGUUUUGCGUUUAAGUCACCCCUGUAACCUAACCUCUAGUUCCUCCAAUUGAAUGUUUUUACAUAAUAAGGUAGGCCUGCACGACAACCGGGAGAGGAUUUCAUCUCUUUGGACCCGUGCUUGGAAUUUUUAUUUUUCCAUUUUGGGCCAAACUUGACAUCCCAGUGCAGUUUUCAGUCUCACAACGCAGGCCUCAAAGGCUGUGAGAUUAUUUGAUUAUAUUUGUAAUGACAGGUUUUACGGAGAUGUUGAGGUGUCUGGUCGUUUCCCACAGCAGUGAAUGCAGCUGCUCACACACAUGCAGGCAAACACACACACACACGCACACACACAGACAAGCGGGUUGUGUCUCUCCGUGUUCACAGCGGACCUUGAUUUAAUGUCUUACAAUUAAGGCACGCGGUGAAUGCCAAGAGAUGGUCCUUCUUUCUUCAGAUGUCUGCAAAUCCAAGGAACACAUCCCAUCUUUUAAUGGCAUUUUUUUAAACAGUAUUAGUGACGCUCUCACAGUAAAGGUUUGCUUCUGUCGUGUCAGACUGUGACACAUUUACGCAUGUACUGUUUCCUUCCCCCUCGGUCCAACAAUAAAGUGAAUCCACACAACCA
Molecule: long non-coding RNA, 995 nt
Organism: Epinephelus lanceolatus (giant grouper)
Lineage: Eukaryota; Metazoa; Chordata; Actinopteri; Perciformes; Serranidae
Source: RefSeq, a predicted model, not a curated record